GACGAACGCUGGCGGCGUGCUUAACACAUGCAAGUCGAGCGGUAAGGCCCUUUCGGGGGUACGACGAGCGGCGAACGGGUGAGUAACACGUGGGUGACCUGCCCUCAGCUCUGGGAUAAGCCUGGGAAACGUAGGGUCUAAUACUGGAUAUGACUCCACGGUGCAUGUCGGUGGGGUGGAAAGCCUUGUGCGGCUGAGGAUGGGCCCGCGGCCUAUCAGCUUGUUGGGUGGGGUGAGGCCUACCAAGGCGACGACGGGUAGCCGGCCUGAGAGGGCGACCGGCCACACUGGGACUGAGACACGGCCCAGACUCCUACGGGAGGCAGCAGUGGGGAAUCUUGCGCAAUGGGCGAAAGCCUGACGCAGCGACGCCGCGUGAGGGAUGACGGCCU
Molecule: ribosomal RNA, 392 nt
Filed under: uncultured bacterium
Lineage: Bacteria
Description: bacterial SSU rRNA
Rfam family: Bacterial small subunit ribosomal RNA
Source: RNAcentral